GUAAAUUAAGGUGGGAUAUAUAAGAGAUGGAUGAUUGAAUAUGCAUAUGGUAAAGAAUAGAUUGGCUGAUCAUUUUUAUCACACAAGAAGAAAGGAGAGAAAACUCUAGAUUCAAUUGAUAUAGAUUAAGAGAUACAAGCAAGGUAUAAUAAGAUUGGUGACCUUAAUUUAAGGGUCAAUCAACAUCAUUUUUUUAUAAACAAAGUUAUUUUAUUGAAAAUAUUAAAAAUAUAGUUAGGAAAAAACUUAACAUGAACAUACCCUCCUAAAUUCCAGCGCACAAGCUUAUCCACAAGUGCCAAUCUAACCAUGUCAUGCUAAGGGAAAAAAUCUGACAACGAUACAACAAAAGAAAGUAAAUCAACAUAUCUUAGCCCCAACUAAAGCUAAUCAUACAUUUACACCAACAAUUUUAGUGAAGGAGAGUAGAAGAAGUUGUGAUGUUGGGGUCGACCCAUGAACCGAAAUUAGGAAAUAUGAAAGAAUAUAUACCAAUUAAUCUCAUAGAUUCUAUUGUGGAUCAAAUCUCAUAUUUUGUCACUUGAAAUUUGUAUAUUUAAUUGAAUAAAUAUUUAUAAAUAGAAUAUUUCCUCCUAGCAUUCUGCUCCAUACAAAUUGGUAGAUAUUUCUGCAACCCAACCGUGAAUAAGCUUGCAUAUUGGACCUAAAAAGUAAAGCAACCCAACAUCAUAUAUGUAUCUAUCCUACCAUCUCCAAAGUUGCAAGUUAAGCAAGCUACCUCCAACUUAUAUAUAUAUAUAUACACACCCCCACCAAACUAAACACUAGCACAUGAAUUUUCUUUAUUAAUUUUUUUAGUAAUUAUUCCAUUGAUUCUCCAUAAAUGGCUGAAUUUCUUCCUACCAAGACUACUAAAAGCCCUUUUCU
RNAcentral lists this unclassified non-coding RNA (888 nucleotides) under Hevea brasiliensis (rubber tree). The record is from RNAcentral. Lineage: Eukaryota; Viridiplantae; Streptophyta; Magnoliopsida; Malpighiales; Euphorbiaceae.